AACGAACGCUGGCGGCAGGCCUAACACAUGCAAGUCGAGCGCGCCUUCGGGUGAGCGGCGGACGGGUUAGUAACGCGUGGGAACGUGCCCUUCUCUACGGAAUAGCCUCUGGAAACGGAGAGUAAUACCGUAUACGCCCUUUGGGGGAAAGAUUUAUCGGAGAAGGAUCGGCCCGCGUUAGAUUAGGUAGUUGGUGGGGUAACGGCCUACCAAGCCUACGAUCUAUAGCUGGUUUUAGAGGAUGAUCAGCAACACUGGGACUGAGACACGGCCCAGACUCCUACGGGAGGCAGCAGUGGGGAAUCUUAGACAAUGGGCGAAAGCCUGAUCCAGCCAUGCCGCGUGAGUGAUGAAGGCCCUAGGGUUGUAAAGCUCUUUCGCCAGGGAAGAUAAUGACGGUACCUGGUAAAGAAACCCCGGCUAACUCCGUGCCAGCAGCCGCAGUAAAAC
RNAcentral lists this ribosomal RNA (450 nucleotides) under uncultured bacterium. Its description in RNAcentral is "bacterial SSU rRNA". It matches the Rfam family "Bacterial small subunit ribosomal RNA", at positions 29 to 526 of the family's 1533-position model. The record is from RNAcentral.